CGCGUAGGCGGUCGGUCAAGUCUGGGGUGAAAUCUUUCGGCUCAACCGGAAACGUGCCUCGGAUACUGACUGGCUGGAGGGAGGUAGGGGUCGACGGAACUUCCGGUGGAGCGGUGAAAUGCGUAGAUAUCGGAAGGAACACCGGUGGCGAAAGCGGUCGACUGGACCUUUUCUUGACGCUGAGGCGCGAAAGCCAGGGGAGCAAACG
RNAcentral lists this ribosomal RNA (208 nucleotides) under uncultured bacterium. Its description in RNAcentral is "partial 16S ribosomal RNA". It matches the Rfam family "Bacterial small subunit ribosomal RNA", at positions 568 to 774 of the family's 1533-position model. The record is from RNAcentral.